UUUCCGUAGGUGAACCUGCGGAAGGAUCAUUAUUGUAUACCGGAGGUGCGAGGGCUGUCGCUGACCCGUAAGGUCGUGCACGCCCGAGUGCCCUCACACACAUCCAUCUCACCCCUAUGUGCACCACCGCGUGGGUCCCCCUUUGGCUUGUUCGGAGGGGGGCUUACGUUUUCACACAAACUUUGUAUGCAGUGUAGAAUGUAUUUUUUGUUUUUGCGAUCACGCAAUCAAUACAACUUUCAACAACGGAUCUCUUGGCUCUC
This 263-nucleotide unclassified non-coding RNA is filed under the name plant metagenome. RNAcentral describes it as "partial contains small subunit ribosomal RNA, internal transcribed spacer 1, and 5.8S ribosomal RNA". The record is from RNAcentral.